Molecule: long non-coding RNA, 2041 nt
Organism: Melospiza georgiana
Lineage: Eukaryota; Metazoa; Chordata; Aves; Passeriformes; Passerellidae
Exons: 4
Source: RefSeq, a predicted model, not a curated record
GAUAAAUUGGAGAAGAGCCCAAGAGAAAUUUUUCAUCCCUUGAUAUAAAAGGGAUCGGUGAAUUUUAACUUUGGAGUCCUCUAUGCUAAGGAUGCUCAGCUUACAGAUGAUGAAAUGUUCAGUAAUGUAUUUGCUGCAGCUCUGCUUACCCAAGCUUUGUGUUCCUUCUGUCCCACUGGGAGUUGCCCAGUUUGGUUGCAUCUGGUGAAAUUCACCCUGAGACCUUACACAACUAGCUCAAACUACGUGAGAGCCAUUUGCAGUUCUCUCCAGACACCUGGAGAAUGGGUGACGUUUCUGAGGGUCUGGCAAGUGUACUUCUAUCAAAACUCAGUCUGUGAAGUUUCUGGGGAAAACCCUUCUGUGUCCUGAAGGGUUCAAACUCCUGUGAGGAUCCAUUUAUCAGGUGCUCACCUGGAUGGUUCCAGCUCUUAAAGUGAACACUUGUACUCUUACCCUGUAGUUUACAUCUAUUGUAUUUUUGUUAUUUUGCAAGAUUUUUUUAUCUUUGCAAAAUAUUGUGCAUUUCACUCUUUGGAACCUCUCAGAUGGUUCUUUGGUGCAGCACCACCCCAUGGGACACUUGGCUGCUGUCCUGAAGGGGAUGGUCGCUAGAAUUGUAAAUUCUGGAGAGUUUAUAAGUCUUCUGUCCCCAGGGAGGUACCAUGCUUUGUUUACUUUUGUUCUGUUUGUUAGGCGCUGCUUCUCGUUGCAAGUAUGAAUUUCAAACUGCCCUGUUCUUAUUUUAACUGUUUUCCUGGUUCUCUCCGUCCGACAGGGAAAGACUCUCAUAUCCUCGUCGUCGGGCUCGGUGCUGUCCAAGAAGAUACAGAGACUAAAAAAAUCAUAAGAAGCAAAAUAUGACUGCAGGGAAAAGAAGCUGGAGAGAACAGAAGGGCCCUGUCGUACUAAUCAUCAUCCAGAUGCAAAACAAAAAAUCAGACCCUGUCCCAAGCACUUAGAGCCCAGAAUACGAUUUCCUCAGGCUGCCAUUUGUGUGCCAUCGGUACUCACCAUGGAAGCGAGCUGGGGAUUGUUGCACCCGUUGGGAACAAACUGCUUCUUGUCACACAGAAAUGGAAUUGGGACGACGCCUCGGCCAGCCCCUCUCUGCCAUCGUCUCCUGAAUCUGCAGCAGAGCAGUUCCAGUCCAUCCGGGCACGUGCAAUCCAGUUCCUGAUGAUCUGAGCACACGGAGCAGCGCUCAGCUGCUAUGGGGGGCUCAGGGAAGGCAGAGUGUGCAUUGUCAUCUUCCUGAACCUACAGACAAAUCAAAGUGAGAAGCCACAGGGUGGAAAUCAGUUGCAUAUAUGCUAAACAAAACUUGCAGGUUGUUUUUAAGAAUUGUUUUUGCUUGUUCUUUGUUGUGCUUCUGUGCUUAGAAAACCUCCCUUUAAAAUCAGUUCAGUUCAUCAGUUGAACCUUUGUUUGCAGACCCUCAGUGAGCAGAAUUUGUUGCAGACUCAGUGCACGCUGUGCCGGCCUCCCGGGAGUGUGAGGAGCUCAUGUGUGCUACUUUUUGCUUUAGGACGCUCUGAGGUAUUUAUUCCUUUUGGGAUACGUGAUGAGAAUUCCCAAGAGAGGUAGUUAUAAGGUAUGACAUUGGGAAAAAGCCUGUGUGGUUGGAAUGUUGUUGCUGUCAAAAGUUAAUUUUUCCUUCAUUCUUAGCCAGUAGUUAGCUUUUUGCUUUAUUUUUGUGGUAUCAGUAUUUUAUUGUUUAAAAAAUUCCUUCAAAAUAACUUCAGUGGUUGCCCACCAGUAUCUUGUUCAGAUUUGCCUAUUUGCUUGUAGCUGAAAUGUUCACAUCUUGUUUAUCAUUCUGUUUAAGAAACUGCUGCCCAGCCAACUAAUAACUGAAUAUCCAUCUGUCUGGGACACGGGGAGAGGAUUUAGGUAAUGUCUUUGUUUCCAGAAAAAAGUUCCAGUGAAGUUUCUAAAUAGAGGAGAAGGGGGUGAAGACUCAGGGCUCUGAUGCCGUUGGGGCACCCCAAGGUCCCCAGGAGAGGGAGCGGUGCAGGAGCAGGUGUGUUCUCAUCUAAUA